AUUUGUUUUGUUCGCGGUAAUUUUUUUGCUACUCUUCGGGAUCGUGUGGCAAAAAACUGAAAGUUCUCUGUGCUGAAAAGGAGCAGCACCAGUACUCAGGAGCUCAACAACAGCACCGGCAAACUGGUACGCGAAAGAUUGAAACACCCGCACCAGCUCUUCCGGAUAAGGCAACGAAAAUGCCCAAGAAAAUAUCAGCAUCGCGACUACCGAGGCAGUACCGGAAAUCAUUGGACGGUUGUUUCAGUGGUUGUUUGUUACAGGUUAUGGCUGCCCGCAUACUAAAAAACCAUAUCUCAAACAGUCUAUACGAUACAUCUACGGCUUCAGAAACAGUGAUUUUCUUUGGAAACGUAGCUGUUCAACUAAACUUUACUUCGACAACGAUAAAAACAAAAUAUGAACGAUUAUGGGAAAAAUUGAUGGUAUCUGAAAAGGUAAUAGAAUGGUAUAAACGAUUUCCUUUCAUAUUGUCUUUAAUCGUAUGAAUGAUUUCGAACCGUUACCCAUAUCGUUCAUGCAUAAUGUCAAAAUCAGAUCAAGAAUGAAAGAAACGCCGAGCAGAGAUGCCAACUGGUUUAAGACAACAAUCUUUACAUAUUUAUUUUUUUUGUCAUCUUGUUUAUUCUGAUAAGACUCUAUUCUCUCUCAUUCACGUCUCACGUUCCGAUUGUUGGUUUUAUUACAUCUGCUCUCCGCUUAAAAAGUGCCCGUUGGUGUUGCAAAACUUACCUGGCGCAUAGUUAGCUGUUCCCAUCUUGGUUCGUUGGAUCUGAGGCCCAUCAUCCGUCCGGAAUACACAUGCAGGACAUCCCAUCGGACACUCUAACUGGAUUUUGGUGCAGUACACGCUCAUUUUUAUUUAACCAUUUAUGGUUCAAAAAUAACCAUUUUAUGGUUUUAGCCUCAAAACUGCCAAUAUGGUUAUUUUUUAAGAAUUUUUACAGCUACAAAAUCAACCAUAAUUGAAGUUUUCGAGAAGUAACCAAAUAUGGUUAAAAUCCGAUAGGAAAUCUCCGCCAUUUUAUUUUGGAAGUGGACAAUGGCGAAGAUGUACGCGUAAGUCUUUUUUAAUCCAAGGUUUAAUCAAGAUUUGGAUUCCACCGGAUUUGAUAAAUCUAAUGUCCUUCGACUGGAGAAUGCGAACUCUACUGAAAGGAAAACUGAACGAAUCUUUAUACCGUCUUCUGUUUCGUCGUCAGCUUUCAACGGAUUGACGUUUCUGAUAGUAUCGGACACCCUGCUUGGGCUCAAAAACAUUUACAGAAUCGGAACGGGCACGCAUAAAAGAAAACCGGCAGCAAUCCUUGAGCCUCCGUCAAUCCGCGCUAACCGCACCUCCCACCGGAUGGUGCCACCACCGGAGACCGUGGUCGUCGUUACCAAAGUCUACAGAACCAAGUUCAACGACAGCGGUGGUGGUUUUUUGACCGAGCAAAGCACCUUCCCGGAUCGCAAGGAAGAUGCAAUUUCGUAUCGAUGAGAAGAACAUUUAACCGGGAGCUAUUCCGGUUCCGAUAGAGAACGACAAAUUUAUGUACAACAUCCACAAUGGCAUCGAUUGAUAUUCCUGAGAAACUCCGUGUACGGUACCAUGAAAUUCCGGUACUGGAGAAGGAUAAAACGAUAAUUCCGAGAUGGACGACCCGUUCGAUCAGCUGACCUGUUCGCAUGGCGCUCCGGAUUGAUGCUACCCAGCUAUGAUUCCAGUCCGACACCACUGCAGUUUGCCACCCGCUGGAACUCAACUUCAGCAGAAACAUUCAAAAUAUUUCUACCACUCCCGGCACUUUUAUGGUUUUGAUGCCGUGGAGGAAACGGAGUAGUUCUUGUUCAGAGUGAAAAUUGUACAUAUGCAUGUAUAACAAUUAAGAAAUCAAAUAAACAUUAUGAAAACUCGAAUUAUUUCUUAAUUUAUUC
This is a long non-coding RNA of Uranotaenia lowii, 1920 nucleotides long. RefSeq lists it as uncharacterized. Lineage: Eukaryota; Metazoa; Arthropoda; Insecta; Diptera; Culicidae. The transcript has 4 exons. The record is from RefSeq and is a predicted model, not a curated record.